GCCAGCAGCUAUAUCACAUGAAAACACAACUGGCAGCCCCACUGAAGCUCAGCAGGUGUGAGCCUGGUCAGUACCCGGAUGGAAGACCUCCUGUGAAAGUUAAGGUUGUUGCUGGAA
This 117-nucleotide ribosomal RNA is filed under the name Lepisosteus oculatus (spotted gar). The record is from RNAcentral. Lineage: Eukaryota; Metazoa; Chordata; Actinopteri; Semionotiformes; Lepisosteidae.